AAAAAAAAAAAAAAAAGAAGGAAAUGUAUCAAAUUUCCCAAGAACUGAUAGUUGGUAGUUGGUACCUUUACCUAUUUCAUGAAGUUCAUGCUCAGCUUAAGUUUUUGUAUAGUUUAAACUCAUGAGUAUUUGAACCCAUUCCACUUGAAGGAUCAAACUUAAGGAUAAAAUCCUACCAUCUAAAAAUUUUCAUAUCCUACCAUCUAAAAAUUUUCAUUUCCUAUCAUUUGAUUCAUGUGGCUUUUACAUAUGC
This 253-nucleotide unclassified non-coding RNA is filed under the name Hevea brasiliensis (rubber tree). Lineage: Eukaryota; Viridiplantae; Streptophyta; Magnoliopsida; Malpighiales; Euphorbiaceae. The record is from RNAcentral.